Molecule: long non-coding RNA, 1301 nt
Filed under: Mus musculus (house mouse)
Lineage: Eukaryota; Metazoa; Chordata; Mammalia; Rodentia; Muridae
Description: long non-coding RNA chr12:72374138-72375439
Source: RNAcentral
AUCAGGCAGCCCUGCUCCAGGAGAAACCAUCAGGUGUUGCCUGUCCCUCAGAGACAACAGCUUACCCUUCUCAAGGCCUUUUCCGCUUUGCUUUCAACAGAAGGCAAGGGACAGCUAGCAGGAAUGACCCAUCAUCGUCCCGCCUGAGACCUCAUGGUGCCUUCUCCCCGUCUAGGCAAGCUCUCCUGUUUGCAUGCUGAACAUAACUGCCCUUGGGGGACGUCGUUUGAUUUUGAAUACGUCUGUGAGAUGCACGGGCGGAGGCUGCAGCCUCUCUGGGCUUUGUUUCUGCUCACACUGUAUCUAAUUUAAGUUCUUCUGUGCAAGAGAAACCGGAUAUGUUUGAGUGCUGUGAGCCAUGUGAGCCCAAAAUAAGUUGCCACUGUUUACCUCCUAGGAAAUGAGUUCGGGCAGGCUCGCUUACUUUAGUCACCUAGCUUGACAAAUGCCAACUCGAGUCUUAAAUAGAGAUUCAGAAUCGCUUCUCCUCUCUCUCCAUGGAGAAGCUGUGUAUCUUCCUGAAGGCAUUCAAGUAUUUGGCUUUAGUCUCUACUCUCAAAGGAGAGCUGGAGAAUUAAAUAAAUAUGACGGUGCUUGCCCCAUAAUCUAACCAUCCAUUCAUUGUUCAAGUGCUGAGUUAAGUAUCUGUCAUUAUAAAGGAUGGAGGAGAGAGACAGAGACUGGCCACAGGACCUGGACGGGAGCUGGGAACUGUGUCAGACUCCUCGGCCUCUCCCCAGAGUACUGUGCUCACUGCUAGGCUGGCAAAGCCUACCUUCAAAGGACUGUAGUAGACACCGGCAAGAGCAUGGACGGAGGACAAAGGCAGGGGCCUGGAAAAACCCACGAGCAAGAACUGGAGUCCUGUGAGCUGGAAGGAACGGGAUAAAAUGUUUGCAUCAGCCCCGUGGGAAGGAAUAGCGAACAGACUUAAGGCCAGACUCUGGGGUCCAGUGACUUUCCAGCUCGCUCGCUCUCGAGCAGCAGCUCACUAUUGAUGCAGCUACACAAAGGUCUCCAUUGGAAACCAGCCAGCCAGCUUCUCACUGCCAGGUCACAGUGGGAAAUGCCCUAGAACACAAAGGUAUCUGUGAGGCUGUAACAGGGACAGGGGUGUGUUACUGUUUCAGAAUGAAUGUGCCGACUCUAGACACACUUGCCCUCAGGUAGAUUUUCUUGGGACACUGAACAUCUAUGGUUCUAAGUGGCAAAUAGGGAGGCAGGGUGGUGCGUGGUACGGGAUGCAGUGUGGGAUUUUAUGCCCUGUGGAAUAAAACUCUAUGACAAGUGUCUGAUAUCAG